This 648-nucleotide ribosomal RNA is filed under the name uncultured bacterium. RNAcentral describes it as "bacterial SSU rRNA". It matches the Rfam family "Bacterial small subunit ribosomal RNA", at positions 8 to 653 of the family's 1533-position model. The record is from RNAcentral.
AGAGUUUGAUCCUGGCUCAGAUUGAACGCUGGCGGCAUGCUUUACACAUGCAAGUCGAACGGUAACAGGCCGCAAGGUGCUGACGAGUGGCGAACGGGUGAGUAAUGCAUCGGAACGUGCCCAGUCGUGGGGGAUAACGCAGCGAAAGCUGCGCUAAUACCGCAUACGAUCUAUGGAUGAAAGCGGGGGACCGUAAGGCCUCGCGCGAUUGGAGUGGCCGAUGUCAGAUUAGGUAGUUGGUGAGGUAAAGGCUCACCAAGCCGACGAUCUGUAGCUGGUCUGAGAGGACGACCAGCCACACUGGAACUGAGACACGGUCCAGACUCCUACGGGAGGCAGCAGUGGGGAAUUUUGGACAAUGGGCGCAAGCCUGAUCCAGCAAUGCCGCGUGCAGGAAGAAGGCCUUCGGGUUGUAAACUGCUUUUGUACGGAACGAAACGGUCCUGGUUAAUACCUGGGGCUAAUGACGGUACCGUAAGAAUAAGCACCGGCUAACUACGUGCCAGCAGCCGCGGUAAUACGUAGGGUGCAAGCGUUAAUCGGAAUUACUGGGCGUAAAGCGUGCGCAGGCGGUUUUGUAAGACAGGCGUGAAAUCCCCGGGCUCAACCUGGGAAUUGCGCUUGUGACUGCAAAGCUGGAGUGCGGCA